Molecule: long non-coding RNA, 327 nt
Organism: Hibiscus syriacus
Lineage: Eukaryota; Viridiplantae; Streptophyta; Magnoliopsida; Malvales; Malvaceae
Exons: 4
Source: RefSeq, a predicted model, not a curated record
CUGGUUGAAUAUUUUGUGCAGGUUGACUGAUGGUUAAUUUGCCAGAUACUCCAAAUAGAGAAAAAAAAUAAGAGUUACAUUAGCCAAGGAGGAAUUGUCACCCAGUAUUGAUUUGGAAGCUAUUUCAAAUAUGACCGAAGGAUAUUCUGGAAGUGACAUGAAGAACCUGUGAGUGACUGCUGCACAUUGUCCCAUACGAGAGAAUCUGGAGAAGGAAAAGAAGGGGAGAGCUUUGGCAGUGGCUGAGGAUAGACUAGCAGUGUUGGCAUUCGUUCUCUGUUGAUGGAUGACUUUAAAUAUGCUCAUGAACAGGUUUGUGCAAGUGUG